AACGAACGCUGGCGGCAGGCUUAACACAUGCAAGUCGAGCGCCCCGCAAGGGGAGCGGCAGACGGGUGAGUAACGCGUGGGAAUCUACCGUACCCUACGGAAUAGCUCCGGGAAACUGGAAUUAAUACCGUAUACGCCCUACGGGGGAAAGAUUUAUCGGGGUAUGAUGAGCCCGCGUUGGAUUAGCGAGUUGGUGGGGUAAAGGCCGACCAAGGCGACGAUCCAUAGCUGGUCUGAGAGGAUGAUCAGCCACAUUGGGACUGAGACACGGCCCAAACUCCGACGGGAGGCAGCAGUGGGGAAUAUUGGACAAUGGGCGCAAGCCUGAUCCAGCCAUGCCGCGUGAGUGAUGAAGGUCUUAGGAUUGUAAAGCUCUUUCACCGAUGAAGAUAAUGACGGUAGUCGGAGAAGAAGCCCCGGCUAACUUCGUGCCAGCAGCCGCAGUAA
Molecule: ribosomal RNA, 447 nt
Filed under: uncultured bacterium
Lineage: Bacteria
Description: partial 16S ribosomal RNA
Rfam family: Bacterial small subunit ribosomal RNA
Source: RNAcentral